GACGAACGCUGGCGGCGUGCUUAACACAUGCAAGUCGAACGGAAAGGCCCUGCUUUUGUGGGGUGCUCGAGUGGCGAACGGGUGAGUAACACGUGAGUAACCUGCCCUUGACUUUGGUAUAACUUCAGGAAACUGGGGCUAAUACCGGAUAGGAGCUCCUGCUGCAUGGUGGGGGUUGGAACGUUUCGGCUGUUGGGGAUGGACUCGCGGCUUAUCAGCUUGUUGGUGGGGUAGUGGCUUACCAAGGCUUUGAAGGAUAGCCGGCCUGAGAGGGUGACCGGGCACAUGGGGACUGAGAUACGGCCCAGACUCCUACGGGAGGCAGCAGGGGGGAAUAUUGCACAAUGGGCGGAAGCCUGAUGAAGCAACGCCGCGUGCGGGAUGACGGCCUUCGGGGUGUAAACCGCUGUCGCCUGUGACGAAGCGUGAGUGACGGUAAUGGGUAAAGAAGCACCGGCUAACUACGUG
This 468-nucleotide ribosomal RNA is filed under the name uncultured bacterium. RNAcentral's name for it is "partial 16S ribosomal RNA". It matches the Rfam family "Bacterial small subunit ribosomal RNA", at positions 28 to 507 of the family's 1533-position model. The record is from RNAcentral.